Molecule: long non-coding RNA, 5343 nt
Filed under: Sus scrofa (pig)
Lineage: Eukaryota; Metazoa; Chordata; Mammalia; Artiodactyla; Suidae
Description: lncRNA (ENSSSCG00015019751.1)
Source: RNAcentral
GGGGAAAGUAGGGGAUGGUUCAAGGUCAACUUCAGUUGGUGAAAAUCUGCUUGUAAUACUCCCAACGGUAGCUCCACAAUAGCGUCUUCUCCCUCCUCAUUUUAUUCCCUAGGGAGCAAGUGCCCACGGCAUGGGAAAUGACUGGUUCAGGGUCACACAGUCAAGAGAAUACUGAUUUUCUGACAUCAUCAUCCACAGACCUUAAAUUCAUGGCAUGGGGCAUGACAGGGCAAGAGGCGUGACCUAUGGGGUGGGAUGUUCCACAAAAAGACUGCAGGGAACUCUUGCCAAGGAGAGAAGGGCUGGUGCAAAGGCACUGGGGUGAGGUCCCCACUGAAGAAAAUCCCAGCAGCACUCUCUCAGAUGCAGACCCUCCCAGGAGAGGAACCCAGGUAAUGCCAGGAGCAAACCAGAGACAGCUCCCCACCCCCGGGAAUAACUGAGGGCUGGGCUGCUCAGACAGGGGCAGGGAAGACUCAGAGGCCCUGAUGGCAAGAUUAGCACGUCACUGUGUGAUGUCUCAGGCACCUGUAGCCACAGGGUACAUUACAAGGAGGCAGGUCUCAGCUCAGCAAGAUAAAUGCUUACAUUUAUACCAAUUAAAUAGUUUGUAAAGGCAUUUUUAUAUAUAUCAUCUCAUUCAGUUUAGACAGUCACCCUUUGAGAGAGUUUUUAAUCCCCAUUUAAGGUUGGAAAAAGUGAAGAUCAGAGAAAUUCACUCAUUUCCCCAUGUUUUGGAGCCAGGAUUAGAAACCAAGUCUUGAAGGAGUUUCCACUGUUGCUCAGCAGGUUAAGAAUCUGACAUAGUAUCUGCGAGGAUACAGUUUUGAUCCCUGGCCUCACUCAAUGGGUUAAGGAUCUGGAGUUGCCGUGAGCUGUGGUGUAGGUCAUAGAUGCAGCUCGGAUCUGGUGUUGCUGCAGCUGUGGCAGAGGCCGGCAGCUGCAGCUCCAGUUCGACCCAUGGCCUAGGAACUUCCAUAUGCUGCAGGUGCGGCCAUAAAAAGAAAAUAGAAACUAGAUCUUUCUAGCUAUACUACCACUUUCUUUUCACGCUGAAAUUGACCUAAGAUGAUAAGGAGGGUGUUCGUGAUGUUUUCAAUGGCUAUAAGCAGGACUUGGUAGCUGCUUUUUCUUUUAUUGUUAUUUCCCCAAUACAAUUUUUUGUCCUACAGUACAGCAUAGUGACCCAGUUACACAUACGUGCUUACAUUCUUUCUUCUUUCAUUAUCAUGCUCCAUCAUAAGUGACUAGACAUAGUUCUUAACAGCAGGAUCUCAUUGCUAAUCCACUCAAAGAGUGCCUCGAUUAACCCCACACUCCCAAUCCCUCCCACUCCGUACCCCUCCCUCUAGGCAACCACAAGUCUAUUCUCCAAAUCCAUGAUUUUCUUUUCUGUGGAAAGUUUCAUUUGUGCUGUAUAUUAGAUAUCAGAUAUGAGUGAUAUCACGUGGUAUUUGUCUUUCUCUUUCUGACUUACUUCACUCAGUACGAAAGUCUAGUUCCAUGGCAUUAUUUUGUUCUUUUUGAUGGCUGAAUAGUAUUUCAUUGUGUAUAUAUAUACCACAUCUUCCUAAUCCAAUCAUCUGUCGAUGGACAUCUGGGCUGUUUCCAUGUCUUGGCUAUUGUGAAUAGUGCUGCAAUGAACAUGCAGGUGCACAUGUCUUUUUUAAGGAAAGCUUUGUCUGGAUAUAUGCCCAAGAGUGGGACUGCUGGGUUCAUGGGAGUUCUAUGUAUAGUUUUCUAAGAUACCUCCAUAGUGUUCUCCACAGUGGUUGUACCAGCUCACAUUCCCACCAACAGUGCCGGAGGGUUCCCUUUCCUCCACAACCCCUCCAGCAUUUGUUAUUUGUGAGCUGCUUUUUCAGAUGGAGGAUCUGAGCCCCAGGGGAGACCUGUCACCUGCCCAGCGUGGCACAGCUGGAACUCAGAGAAGUGGGGUAUGAAUGCAGGCUUCAGUUUGCAAGCCUCCCCCUCUUUCUGCUCCUCUUUCUUGUGGGAGUGAGCGAGCCCCUCAUUCCUGGAGGGGAAGGGACAAGUUUGAGAUGCCUUUCCGCCAGCUCACCUCUAGGGCGAGUGCUCCCAAGAGAGCAGCUGGGAGUCGCCAAGGCCCCCACCCCCACCCCCACCCCACCCCCACUUCCUACCUGGAGGCUCCCUGGCUGUGCUGAGGGGAGGACACACAGGACCAGGUGCCUCACUUGAAGCAUAUUCAAGUGAUGAGCAGAGGCUGCCUGGAGCAAGGGGCGGGGAGAAGGGUCCUGGGGGCAGCACCAGCGGUUUGGCUUUGAGGAGAAGGGAAGUCCAGAGAGAUAAGCAGUGCAGAGAGUGAUAUGAUCCAGCAGUGUUUGUAAAAGAGAAUUCUCGAGGGGCUAGGAGCUGGAGCAGGGGAGACCCAGGAGCCCACGUGGAUGCUUUUGAAGAUGCGGAUGCAGGGGACUGGGCAGCUCGGAUCAGGACAGCAGGCGAUCCUGAGGACAGCUGAUUCUGUGAGUUGAGAACAAUCCCUGCCCCUUGACAAUUAUGCUUGGUUCUUUGCAGCCUCCACCAGUUACGGGAUAGACAUCUCUCUUCUCUCUGGACGCAGCCUUUUUGCUUCCACUUUAGUUUACCCUGGGCCACCGUCUUCUUGGCGUUACUAAAUUGUCUCUAAUUAUAAUUUUAGGCUUGAUUUGCUUAUGGUUGGUCUUUUAACUCAGAAUUGCAAUCCAGGCGGUGUUCAUUCAUUUGGGGCUCUUACCUGUUUUAGAUCUUGUUUUAAAGGAAAAGAAACCUGUGAGUGGAAGCGCCACGAGGAGUUUUUUUGGGUGAGAAAUAUCACCCACUAUAUCCCCGAAGUUGCCAAACGCUGUUGAGACAGAUCCGCACGCUCACUAUUGUGUAAUGUCUUGGAAAUGCCACCCGCGUGUUGAUUUUUCUAUUCUCAGCUUACAGGGCAAAAUGGUGUUCACUUUUUCUAUUUAUUUUUGGAGAAAGUUCAGGAGGAAGAAGAAAUUCCUUUGGCAUGUUUUGAAGCGGACAGAAACACCACCUGGCUUUUUGUGGUGAAAAUGUGGGAAAUUUCAGUUUCCGAGUGUCUGUUCUGGAGGAAGCCAGCUGAACUUUGAGGCUUGGUUCCUGGGCAUUGGAUGCAGAGGCAAGGGUGCCUGACAGGGGCCGGGCUGCUCGGGAAAGUCAGCUUGUGGUUGGUGGUUGAAAGUGCAGCCUGGGGUUCUUCCUGAGCCUCCAGGGUCAUAGACUCCAGGUGAGAGGCCCUCUCAUUGUCAGCCUUACAUGCCCAAGGAAAAGAUGACAUUGAAAACAUCCCCCCACAAGGAGGAACACAGAUCUCACCAGCCAUUUAAGUCCUUCGGCCUGCUUGGAGAAGGCAGAUUGCGGAAGUGGUGGGGCUCCUGGGCUCCAGGCUCUCUGGAUCCAUGCCAUUGACUUUGCAAGGCAGCCCACCUCAGUUUCCAGAUCUGUAAAAUGGGGAUGCCCAGAGUCGUCAUGGCAACUCUAUGAGCUAACGAGUUCCUUUGUCCUUAGCACGAACUAAACAAACGUUCAUUAUUGGCGUGAUUAGACUUGCCACUGAAAUUGUAUUUAAAUGUGUAAAGGAACAGAUUAAAAGUGUAUGCAUGUGUGUGCGUCUUAGAACUGGUCUUCCAAGAAAAGUGAUUUAAAUGUGUGAGAAAGGAACACAUGGUCCCCUUAGAGACUGGGAUAUCCUGGGAAAUGUUGUAUAAGUUGCUGAGAUUGUGUCUUCUCAUUGCCAGAAUAUUCCAAGGACCAGGGGAGGAGUCAGCCAGUGGCCCAGCUGCUGGCUUUCCGGGGCUGGAUCCAUAUGUUUGGCGGGGUUUGUCCUUCUGGCAUCCCAGCCCUGGGGGAGGGGGCCCCCACGUCCCGAGGAAUGACGGCCCUGGGUGCCUUCCAGGCAGCUGCUUUGCUGAACAUCAGGACGCAGGGGAGGUCUGAGGCACGCCAAGGAAAGGGAGGUUCGGCGCUCUCCUGGCUCGGGUGGGCCUCGUAGGCUGGGGGGCCCACGGAGAGGGGAGGGGACCCCCAGGCCUGAGCCGCUGCACUGGCUGCCGUGUUGAUGAGCUCCAUCUGGAAACCUUCCCCCAGCAGCAGCACCAGCAGUGUGGCCCAACGCUCUGGCAGCGCAUGAUCCCGAUUCAUCUCCUCCUUGAGCCCACAGGCCUUCCUUACUCGCCGUGGACUUGGCGUCAGCCCCCCACUGGCUGCCAGGCAAAGCAGGGCAGUGGCGACAGUGAACAUUUCUUGGCUUCUUCCCACGGCUGGGCUGGUGCUGGGGGCUUCCCGGGGAGGCUCCUCAUCACAGUGGGUCCCUGAGAUAGGCAGGCAGGAUCCCCUCCUUGGCAGAGUAGAAACGGGAGCCCAGAGAGGUCGUGUUACAUGUGGAAAGUCACACAGCUGGUAAAAAAAGCAGUGCUGGGAUCCAGGCCCAGCUCUGACUCUAGAAUCCACACUGGUUGCCCUGAAGUGAGUUACCAUCUGGCGGAGACGCAGAGAUGGUAGUCACAGGGCACAGCGUGCAUCCUCUCUGGGUUAACCCGGGGCUGGCCCAUCUUUAGAGGCUAGAUGCUGCCAUGGGAACACAGCAGGGUUAGAAACAAUACAGCCAGGUUGAGCCCCAGCUCUGCCACCUACUGGUGGAGGGGCAAUACACCCUCUAAGCUCCUGCAAAUCAGAUAAAGAUAUUCACUUUGCCAGAUUCCUGAAACCAGUUGUGAUAACUGGGUGUCCUGCUCCUUCCUAGGUGAAUGUCCUUAAAUGGCAAAUAGUACUGUGAUUGCUAUACCUAGGACGGUCAAGUUGCAGGGGGCGGUGGGGAGUCCGCCCCUCCCAUCAGGAAGACCAGGCUUGUAAUUCCAAGGGUCUUAGGAGGGGAGAGAACUCCAGAGGCCCCCAGGUCCCCAGCUCUCCUGGCAGCUUGCAGCCUGGAUAUCGGCCCUGGCGGGGGUGGGGGCUCAUCUCAUUAUAUAAACUCCCCAGGGCUGGAUAAUACAACCGCUUCUCAUCACCCAUUCGAGCAUAUGAAAGAGUUUGGAAGAGAGUGAAGGAAUGUGUUUUUCCUAUUAAGCUAACUUUUAUCUUUAUUGGUCAAGAAAGACUUGGACUCCCUGCUGCAGCACAGUGGGUUAAGGAUCCAGUGUUGUCUCUGCAGCGGUUCUGGUCGCUGCUGAAAGCACUGGUUCAAUCCCCACCCCGGCACAGUGGGUUAAGGAUCCAGUGUUGAUGCCACUGGGAUGUAGGUUGCAGCUGCGGCUCAGAUUCCAUCCUUGGCCUGGGAACUUCCAUAUGCUUUGGGGGCAGCCAGAAAGAAAGAAGGAAAGAAAGAAAGAA